Molecule: transfer RNA, 72 nt
Filed under: Klebsiella pneumoniae
Lineage: Bacteria; Pseudomonadati; Pseudomonadota; Gammaproteobacteria; Enterobacterales; Enterobacteriaceae
Description: tRNA-Arg
Rfam family: tRNA
About the family: Transfer RNA (tRNA) molecules are approximately 80 nucleotides in length. Their secondary structure includes four short double-helical elements and three loops (D, anti-codon, and T loops).
Source: RNAcentral
AUNCAACUNNCUGGAUAGAGCAACGGCCUUCUAAGCCGUAGGUCACAGGUUCGAAUCCUGUAGGGCGUGCCA